RNAcentral lists this ribosomal RNA (253 nucleotides) under uncultured bacterium. Its description in RNAcentral is "partial 16S ribosomal RNA". It matches the Rfam family "Bacterial small subunit ribosomal RNA", at positions 524 to 776 of the family's 1533-position model. The record is from RNAcentral.
UACGUAGGGGGCAAGCGUUGUCCGGAUUUAUUGGGCGUAAAGAGCGUGUAGGCGGCUAGAUAGGUCCGUUGUGAAAACUCGAGGCUCAACCUCGAGACGUCGAUGGAAACCAUCUGGCUAGGGUUCGGCAGAGGUGGGUGGAAUUCCCGGUGGAGCGGUGAAAUGCGUGGAGAUCGGGAGGAACACCAGUGGCGAAGGCGGCCCACUGGGCCGGGACCGACACUGAGGCGCGAAAGCGUGGGGAGCGAACCGG